GACAGAGGGGGCUAGCGUUGUCCGGAAUCAUUGGGCGUAAAGCGCGUGUAGGCGGCCCGGUAAGUCCGCUGUGAAAGUCAAAGGCUCAACCUUUGAAAGCCGAUGGAUACUGCAGGGCUAGAGUCCGGAAGAGGCGAGUGGAAUUCCUGGUGUAGCGGUGGAAUGCGCAGAUAUCAGGAGGAACACCAAUAGCGAAGGCAGCUCGCUGGGACGGUACUGACGCUAAGGCGCGAAAGCGUGGGGAGCGAACAGG
RNAcentral lists this ribosomal RNA (253 nucleotides) under uncultured bacterium. Its description in RNAcentral is "partial 16S ribosomal RNA". It matches the Rfam family "Bacterial small subunit ribosomal RNA", at positions 524 to 776 of the family's 1533-position model. The record is from RNAcentral.